GCCGGGUGCGGUGGCAUGUGCCUGUAAUCCAAGUCACUGGGAGGCUGAGGUUGGUGGAUCAAGUGAGCUGAGGAGCUCUGGGCUGCAGCACACUAUGUUGAACGGGUGUCCACGCUAAGUUCGGUAUCGAUAUGGUGUUCCAGGGGGAGCCCGGGACCACCAGGUUGUCUAAGGAGGGGUGAACCGGCCCAGGUCGGAAACGAAGCAGGUCAAAUCCCCCGUGCUGUCCAGUAGUGGGAUAAUACCUGUGAGUAGAUGCUGCAGUGCAGCCUUGGCAAAACAUCGAGACCUAAUCUUUC
Molecule: signal recognition particle RNA, 299 nt
Filed under: Oncorhynchus kisutch (coho salmon)
Lineage: Eukaryota; Metazoa; Chordata; Actinopteri; Salmoniformes; Salmonidae
Description: Metazoan signal recognition particle RNA (ENSOKIG00005032734.1)
Rfam family: Metazoan signal recognition particle RNA
About the family: The signal recognition particle (SRP) is a universally conserved ribonucleoprotein.
Source: Rfam by way of RNAcentral